Molecule: ribosomal RNA, 406 nt
Filed under: uncultured bacterium
Lineage: Bacteria
Description: partial 16S ribosomal RNA
Rfam family: Bacterial small subunit ribosomal RNA
Source: RNAcentral
AUUGAACGCUGGCGGCAGGCCUAACACAUGCAAGUCGGGCGAGCGGUGGACGGGUGGGUAAUGUAUGGGGAUCUUCCUGAUGGCGGGGGACAACUACGGGAAACGGUAUCUAAAACCGCAUACCAUCAGAUGAACCCAUAUGGGAUUAGCUAGUAGGUAAGGUAAAGGCGUACCUAGGCGACGAUCCGUAGCGGGUCUGAGAGGAUGAUCAGCCACACUGGGACUGAGACACGGCCCAGACUCCUACGGGAGGCAGCAGUGGGGAAUAUUGCACAAUGGGCGCAAGCCUGAUGCAGCCAUGCCGCGUGUAUGAAGAAGGCCUUCGGGUUGUAAAGUACUUUCAGUCGGGAGGCGUUACCGACAGAAGAAGCACCGGCUAACUCCGUGCCAGCAGCCGCGGUAAUUC